UGUGUCCCUUUCUUCUCUCUCUGUUUCCAGGCUACCAUGAACUAAGCAGCUUUCCUCCACAGUGCCCUUCUGCCAUGAUGUUCUGCCUUGCCUCAGGCCCAAAGCAAUGGAGAAGGCUGACCAUGGACUGCAACAUGAGCUGAAAUAAAUCUGUCCUCCUGUAAGUUAUUUUUUUCUGAGAAUAGUGAAAAACUAACUAUUGAAUUAGUCUUGACCACAGUUCUUUUGGAAUAGUGUAAGAAUUGUACGGGUACGGAUUUUUCAAGUUUGGAUUGAAAAAUAACCUUAUUACUUAUACAUUAACCAGGAAUCCUCAGUCUUUGGGUCACAUUUUCUACCUGAAGAUAGAGGAUCCCUCUGAGAACUCUACCUGUGUAUCUCCCCUUACCCAGAACAGGACUGAGGAUGCAAGCAAAGCUCAGGGAGAUGAUCCAGAGCUGUGAAGAUGGCUGAGGGAAGAGCAAAUAGAGCAGACACUGGUUUCUUACAUAGAACUAAGAAAUAUGGAACUGGCAGAAAGAGUCCCUAGUUAAUGGAAAAUAUACCCAGGAAUAACAAUGUCCUGCCUCAGAACCGACUGAUUUAGUCAGGUUACAAAUUCCAUCUUUUCUAAAUGCCAAAGAAAAGAAAACCAGACACAAAAAUGAGAAGGACAGAGAAAAACACCACCGACAUAAAUACUUAUGUACCUAUUCUGGGCCCUUGGGAUGUGGUGGAAAUGCCCCUCUUGGUGCAUGGAAGGCCUACUAGAAAGAGACUCAUCUGUAAUUAACUAAUAAACAGCAAGUCCAGUGAUGAUGAAUGCUAUGGGAUAAUAAUUGCUAACUCGUUGGUCGAGUGCUCUUUGUUGGGAGCAUUCCACAUACUUUACAUGUGUGAACCUCAUUAGGACCCAUUAACAUCCCCAUUUUAUGGGUGAGAAUAAUGAGGUCCUUGAGAAGUUGAAGUAGCCCAACGAUAUGCAUCUGGGAAAUAGGAAAACCAAGGUACCCUCCUCCCACAGGGAGAAAAGUCCGAGCGUCACAGGUAAGUCUCUACUGCAGGGGAAUGGAGAAGGAGUGCUGGAGUAGGGCCUGGGGUGGGCAUGGUGAUUUUAAUAAGGACAUCAUUGGAAAUUGCACUGAGAAAAUGACAUCUGAGCCAAAACCAGCAAAUAGGUGAGGACAGUGACAGAAGGCUGUGUGGAGGAGGAUCAUUUAGUUGCAAAAGCCUGAAGGCAGGAGGGAGAGAGAAAUAAGGAGGCUGAAAUGGCUGGAACAGGGCAGCAGAGUGGCCAAGGGACCAGCAGGUGAGGUGGGCAGAGAAUUUUAAGGCCGGACUGCAGAGGUCUGACAGAAGAGCUGUGGCUUGUGCCCUGGUGAGUCUUUAGAGAGGACUGCCAUGUUCUGAUUUUUAUAUUAAACACAUUAUUCUUGUGGCUUGUGUUGGGAAUAGACUGAGGAGUUUAAGGGUAGAAGCAGAAAAAGGCCAACAAUCCAACAACUGCCACUACUGUCACCGAGCCACGGGAUGGGCAAGGUCAUCCUGAAUAAAGUCUGCGUAGAUGUCCUCAAGGGCUUGAGCAGUGCACAGACCUGAGCCCUGUGGACAUGUUGGAGAGGACAGACUAGGUUCUGGUCACCAAGGGAGAAAUAUGAGUUUCUAUUUUUAGAUGUCUCAUGCUCAUGAAAAAUUGCUGAUGAAUAUUCUUGACUUGGGUACUAGUUGUUCUUGCACACCUCACCUCACUUAGGUUUCCUCAGGGUUGCGAUUCAUUCUCGUUUCUUCAACUGUUACUUCCAUGGAGAUACUUGGAACUCUAUAACUCUGGCCUAUAGAGGGCCAUUUCCAAUUUCCUAUUUUGUGUCCCACCAAAACUCAGUUCCAGGGCUUCUCUCCCACACCAACGCUUCCCUUGGACUGUCCCAUUUUUUGAUCACCAAUUACCCUGGUUCAAAUAUGUGGCAGUUACUCUGAAGCCUUCUGUGCUUUGGCUCUAAUUCAUAUAAUUCUGACUCCUAUAAAUUAUGCUUCUGAGACAUCUUUUCUUUCCAUCCUCACUGCCACCAUCUUUGUUUGAAUUUGCCCUUCCUCUGGAAAACUGUAUGUUCAGAUUCACCUUUCAGUACCUACUAUUAUGAGCUUAACUUUACCAAAGGUGAUUUAUGAUGUUCCCUUUAAAACCUUCAGUUCUUCUCUUGUCUGGUGAACCAUAUGUAGAUGCACCACAUUAUGGUUUGGAUGUGAGGGUGUCCCCCAAAAGCUCAUGUGUGAGACAAUGCAGGGAGGUUUAGAGAAGAAAUGAUUGUGAGAGUCUUAACCCAAUCAGUGAAUUAAAUCCCCUGUUGGGAUUAAUUUACUGGUAACUGAAAGUAAAUAGGAUCUGACUGGAGGAGGUGGGUCCCUGGGGACAAGCCUUUGGAGUAUAUAUUUUGUAUCUGGCGAAUGGAUUCAUUCUCUCUGUCUCUCUCACUCUUCCUUAUCAUCAUGUGAGUCACUUCCCUCCACCACACUCUACUGCCAUGAUGUUCAUCCUCGCCUUGAGCUCUGGGGAAUGGAGCCUGCUGUCUAUGGACCUCUGAUACUGCAUCCCCUCAAAUAAACUUUUCCUCCUUUACAAUUGUUCUGGUCAGAACUUUUAAUCACAGCCAUAAAAAGCUGAGUAAAACACUCCAGAGCUUGGCAUCCAUUAUUCACCACAAUGUGAACAAACCUGUAUCUAAACUUUCUCAUUCCCUUAUACAACCUGUACACCUCUAACACCCCAAGCCAACUCCUGUGAUUUUCUACCACAUUCUGUGCAUUCCUGCCUCUAACUCCUACAGAGCCCCACCUAUCUGCUACCAGCAUUUUCUGCUACCAGUGUUUUCCAACACUGUCUUCAGGAAGCCUUUCUUGUUCCCUCAAACUGGGAGCAUUUUCUCUUUCCUAUGCAUUUGUGGUUCAGUUUUGUGUGUUUGUCCUAUUACAUCAUUUAUGCCCUUGCAAGGUGAAGGCAUGCAAGUGUGUCACAUGGAAUACACUUAGGUGCUCAUUUAUUCAUGAAUUUUUUUUAUAAGCAUGGAAACCUGGGCAUUGUUCUGGGCACUUGGAACCCAAAGGAAAUCAGAUAGUUUUCCUCACUUUGACAUGCUUAUUCAGUAACCAAUGCAACAGGAGAUAAUUUACAACUUAUGGGAGUGGUAAUCCAACCAUCCUCAGUUAAAAAUCAUGUUUCAUGCUACCUUCUACUCCUGCCAUCAUAAAUCAAGGUAAUUACUUGGCAAUCUGGCUACACCUUGUAAGGCAAAAGAGCUGUUCAUGUCUUGUGUCAAAUGGUGAAUGGAGAGGGGGGGAGGAAAAGGGUAAAUUACUCUGCCUCCAAUCUGUGCCCAAUCAGCUGUAAAUCUCCAGGAAAAAAAAAUGUACUUGGGAUCACCAAAGAAAUAUCCUUUUGACUGUGCAUCUAUAGGUAGGAUUUUGUGCAGUUGGAGGGACAGACCCGAGUAAGUGUGAAGCAUACCUGGAACUUCAUGUUGAUCUUUUAUGUUUGAGUGCAAGAGUGGGCACUUCUAAUGGAUUUAAAAGGUUACCCUGCCUUCUCUGCCUGUGUACACAGCAAGUGGAGCAGGGCUCUCAAGGCCUGACUGUGACAAGGACCACACGUUUUAAAGAUGCCCUGUGAAAUGGAAAACAGCACUGGGGCUUCAGCACAAGUGCAAUUCUUAUAUCUUAUCGACCUUUAGUGCAACAAUUUGUUACAUGCCGAGAUUUUAAAAUGUGUUCUUGCCAGAAGAGAGACUCAAGGAUGGGACAAAGGAGUAAUUUAAAUGCCCCUUAAAACUGUAAAUGGACAAAGGUGUAUAGCGUAGCAGGAGAAUUGUCGUAGUUAAGGGCACAGUUUCUGGAAGAAGAUAGUGAGAGUCGGGAAUCCCAGCAGCACAAUGUCCUAUAGCUGUAGGAACUUGGGUAAGCACAGAGGUUAACUAGUCUCUCUGUACCUCAUCUCAAAAUAAUAAAUGAACUUUGACCAUAGAACAUGGUUGUAUUAAGUGAGCUAAUAAUACUUGUAAGAUGACAGCAGUUUAGCAUCAGUAAAGGGUUAUUAAAUUAAAAUGAAUUAAACUAUGUGCUUAAUUUAUUAAAUUAAAACAAAUUAGACUACACUCCCCCCCCCCCAGCAACCUCACAUGACACGGGAAACCCCUCUCACCUGAUAGUUACCUGGAGAUAUUACCUCUUGAUUUCAACAGUCUACUGAGCAACCAACAUUAUUUGUAGGGGGGAGAAAUGGGUAAGUUUUGCCAUAUACAGUAAAUUUUUACAUUUGCUUCUCCCUUAAAUGAAAGGAAAACAUCCAUGGAGAAAAAGGGGGGAAAAAAUCUUUCCCAAAGGAUACUUGAAUAAACCUGAAUAAAUGAAAGCUCUGCAGGUAAUCUAACCCUCUAGAUAUAGUGACACAAAUUCUACACCAUUAAUGACUAUCACGUGCAAUCCUGUGGGGAGAGAAAUUCCCCAAAUCGGCCCUUUUUAUGCCUUGUUUCCUCUUUUAUGUGCAAUUUCAUCUUUCUGGGGCCCAUAUAAAUCUCUCUCAGCCUGUAUUAUCUUCCCAUUAUGAGCGAGUGGCCAUAAUGACAGCCACCUGUUUUAAUGACAGAGCCAGGAUGUCAUCAUUUUCAGCAGAGUGUUGUUAAUCUGAGUAACCUUUCCCUUCAGGAAUGCCAUCCCCACCUUCUUGCAGUUUGGUGCCAGUUUCAGAGCACCUGUUCCCCUCUAGUUUUAAAAGGUAAACUCCUCCCCAAGGGGAAACCCUUCCUCCGCCUCCACUCCCUGGUAUACUCUCUGUAUAAAUCUUGCACUUUUGGUCGCUAUGGUUUUCUCAAUCAAACCAGCAGGGGGGAAAAGUGGAAGAUGGGAACAUAUUGUUAGAGAACGCACAUUAACACACUGUAAUAGCCCAAUCAGAAAUUUGUCAACAUCGUUAACUGCCACCUUCGCUCGGCUUCAAUCCUGGAACAGCUGCUGACAGGCUUGCUGAGGCUUCCUCCAGGACAUCAGGUGUGCGGAAUCAAUAGCACCAUGGCGUCUAAGCCAAUGACUGCCACAAACACCAUUUGUCACUCUGAGACACACAGCGACAGGAUCCCAGAGCUCCGGCCACUCCCAAUGACCCCCAGGGACAUUUCCAAGGCUCUCUGAUGUGGUCUAAUUGGCUAAGUGUAGAUUUUGCCAACUUCAAAGCUGUUCUUGCAAAGCCAUCUAAGUCAAGCCCAAGCGGUGCUUGGUUGGCCUGUCAUCCUGGAGACACAGCGUGGUGGCGUACACGGGAGCUCACACAGCUUCAGUGCAGAAUCUGACUCUUCUGCUUGCCAGCUGAAAGACUGCAGGCAAGGGUUGUCAGUUCUUUGACAAAAAGCUGUGGGGUAGACAGGUGACAUAUGCCAGGGUCUGGUUGAGCAGGUUCUCAGUGCAUGUUCCCUGCUUUCUUUCCUCUCCUGAAUGCCUCCGUUCUCACCACCUUCUAUGGCCCAAGCCAAGGUCUGCCCAUCUGCCAUGGUCCAAGUCUUCUCCAGGAGAUCCGGCCCAGCUGGUCAGCUCUCGCUGCUGUUUCUCUCUCCAUACGACACACUCCUUCCUUUCUUUCUCAUCCUUUUCUUGGAUCUGUGAGGCUGCACACAAUUCCUUACCCCACUGCUCAAGGACCAGUAGCCAAGGAGGAAGAAGAAACGCUGUUGGCCUUCCCUUUUGGCUAUCUUCUGAUUUUGUUCUUCCUGCUCCAUGUUAGACUAAUUAUCAGCAUCUCCUAUUACUCCAGUGCAUUCUUAGGUCGGACAUCUUAGGAGACUCACCAGUGCCCAGUCUCACAAGUUGAUCUGAAGCCACACACACCUCUUCUCCCUCCAUCCUGCUUAAAUGGGAGUGGGGGCUCCUCUCGAAUGGUAAUUCCACCUGUGCUCUGGAUGCCCUCUUGCCUUCUCAGGGACUUUAUUUCUACCCUGCUCCUGAUUUCUUCGAUGCAUGGAAACAUGAGCAAGUCUCUGGAAUCUUUAAGAAACAUCCGACCUCAAAGUCCAUUAUUUCCCAUCAACUAUUACCACCUGUCUUGUCCCCUGUGAGGCUGAACUUCUUUAAUGAAUUUUCCACACCGUUCACUUCCAACCCACUUUAAACUCACUUUAGUCUGGCUGCCUUCUUCCCCUUUAGGCCAUUGCUUCUUCUGGAGGCACAUUUUCUUCCUCUUCCUUAGUGCACAUGAUCCAUGGCUGGGGUGAUAGUCAAGUUCCUCUUUCCUUCUCAUGAAAAUUCUUUCCCCAGGGCAAAGAUGUUUGCUAAGGAUUCCCAAAAUUAUAUCUAUAGCCACAUGAAGAAGUGUUCAACAAGGAAUAAGGGCGUAGUCAACAGUAUCAAAUAUUGCCAAGAGUCUAAGCAAUAGAUGCACCAAGGUGUCUACCAGAUUUAGCUUUGCAUAGGUCAUGGAAAUUUCUGUAGGGUUUUACUGGUGGAGAAGAACAGACUUUCUCAUCUUGAAGAUUAGUUACCUGAUCUUAAGGUGACUUAGCAGACUCUUGGUCGCACACAUAGGUCCAGUACUAGAACAGAAACUCAUGACUGUAUUUUGAAUCUGAAAUUUCCACCAAAGGCCCCUGUGUAAAGGAAUGGUCCUCAGUUUAGCACUCUUGGAAGAUGAUGGGAGUUUUAACACAGUGGGGCCUAGUGGGAGGUUUCAGGUCAUUAGGUGCAUGUCCUUAAAAAGAAUUGUGGGGCACCAGUUUCUUCUCUCUCUUUUUGUGUCCCAGCCAUGAAGUUAAUGGUUUUGCUAUGUGUUUCUAUGAUAUAUUGCCUCACCAUAGGCCCCAAACAGGGUCAACUAAUCAUGAAAUAAAACCUCCAAAACCAAUAUAACCCUUUUCUCUUUAUAAGCUAAUUAGCUCAAGUACUUGUUAUAGUAAUAAAAAGCUGACGAACACAACUUUCAGUUCUAUAUGUGCCCAAGACAUAAUGACUGUUUUAUUUUAUAGUAAGAAUGGAUUGAGCUGGCCUUCUCCUGUGAGGGUAGAGAACUUCCCUUUAAGUUUUGGAUACCUUAUCCUGAGGUGGGAAAUACAGUGUCAAUCCAUGAAGGAGAAAUCUUAGGUAGGUGAUAUAACUAGAUCUAUGAGAACAGAGUCCCCCCCCCCCCCCCCCUUUCCCAGGGCUUUAUGAUCCUAUUAGAUCAUCCCAAUCUUUCCUAAUCCUUCCUAAUCCAGUCUUUGUUCCCUCUCACAAUCUGGCGCACCUGAGUUUGUGUUCUUCCUUUCUUAUCUUAUCCCAGCCCUACAUGCCCUUUCCCAUUCAGAGCUCAGGUAACUCCUCCUUCCGCUCUAUGUGGGAGAUCUCCUCCAGGUAGCCAUUUGGUACUGAUGCAUUUGGAGCCUGCCCAGAGCCUAACCUUGCUUGACCUCUGAUCCCUUCUUUGCCACAAUGAGACUAACUAUCAAAGAAAUAAUUACUCUAAUUAUAGUAUUUUCUUGUUCUAUUAUUUCUUCUUCACCCUCAAGGUAUUAAUGCAAUCACCACAAAUAAUCAUGUAUUUCAGAACACAGCAUUUACUGCAGCAAAAUAACUAUCAUAUUUCAAUGACUCCCAAUGAUCCCUAUGUCCUGGUUUCUUGUCCUUGUAUAAUCUUUCCUUUGAGCAUGGACUAGACCUUAUGACUUCUUUAUAAUGGAGAGUCAUGGGAGGUCAUGAAAUCAGAUUAUAAAACGACUGUGACUUCUAUCUUGCUGGCCUCAUGGUUUCUCUCCCUUGUUUGCAACAAUGGAAGCCAGCUUCCCUACAGAGAGGCCCUGGGGCAAAAGAAGAAAGGGUAGCCCAAAGAACCAGAAAGGCAGGAACUAAGACCCUCCAUCCAAUUUCCCACAAGGAACUGAAUUCUUCCAACAGCCAUGUGUGAAUUUGAAAGCCCAUCCUUGCAGGGUCAAGCUCUCAUCUGACUUUAGCCAAAACCUUGAAGCUUUGUGGGAGACCUUCAAAUACAAGUCUGUAGCUAAACCAUGUCCAGUUCCCUGACCCAGAGAAUUUGACAUAACAAAUAUUUAUUGUUUAAGCAGCCAAGUUUUAGGAUAAUUUGCUACCCAGAAACACAUGAUCAAUGUAAUAUCUAAGCCAACACUUUUGCAUGAUUCAAGAGUAGGAAAGAAUAUAUCUAUGGCAGUAUUUUUUUCCCUUUGAGGCCUAAAUGAAAAUAAACAACAACAAAAAAGUACAUUGCCAAAACUCAAGUACGAUGAGAAAUAUGGGGUGAGUGAAAGUGAUUGACUUGAGUUCUAAGAUUAACUAUUAGCGGAGAUAUAACACUUAUAUAUUUCUACUCCUACCAUCCCAACUGAGAAAUGGAGGAGACAAAUAUUUGUGGCCUGUCUGAUCUCACUUGCUUGUUUGCUGUAGUCUAUUUGGGCAAAUGGAGAGAGGAUCUAGGAUUCAAGUGCAGUGUGUUAGCAUUAAUGAAUUCCCCAAAUAUCCUGUUUUCCUGGGGUAAAUUUACUUUAUAACGAUCACCAUUGCCAACUAAAAAUUAAAUCAAUAAAUCAGUAUGAGGAAAUUGUUGAGAGGAGCUAGGAGUCCUACUAGAAGAAAGCAAAUGUUUAUGGAUUGAGUUCCCACACCUCUGUGUAGCUGGCCUACCACCCAGUUCUAGGAUCACAGGAGGCCCAGCAAGGGAGAGGGCAUCGGCCCCCAGGGCAGGAAAACACUUGAGUACUCUGGGUCCAUGUCAGCCAUUGUGUCUCUACAGCACAUUUCUCCCCUUCUCCAGGAAAAAUAGACAACAGUCAUUGCCAAACUCUUUCUGCUCUUGUUUCUGGCAAGAAGUAGUUCUAACUUCUUAACCCUUUACCAAUACUUUUAAACUACACAUGAUCAAGCCUGCCUUUCUGUGUGCCCCUUUCCUCUGGUGUUAUUUCUCUAGUAUAAUAUUGCUCAGGAUUCAGCAAAGACAACAGAAGAAUACCUGACUCUAAGUUAUGACGUCAACAAGUUGUCAUAAUUAGAGAAGUGUGUUUUGUAGAAAAUUGUUCUUUUGGUUUUACCUUAGCACUACAGGGAAAUUCACAGAAUCAUGCAGCUAUGACAAUUGCUGCAAAAGUCACACAUAUCCAAACCAGAAAACAAACCAAAAAAUUCAUAUUUUUGGAUGGACUCCCUCUUUCUGACCCUUCCCAUUCCUCUCUGCCACAUGCACAUACUCCACAGAUAGAAACAUGUUCAGAUUCAUGCUUGGCCAAACAGAUAUAUACUCUCAGGAUCUAACUAUCUGCAUAUGAGAACUAUCAAAAUAAUAAAUGAAAGCAAUCACAUACUAUUUCUAGAUAGUUCUGUCAUGUAUAUAAAAUGUCUGUGGUGAUUUGUUGAUUUAUUUUCACUCUACAUUCAAACAUGUCAUGAGAAUAUAAACAAAGUUGCUUAUGCCAUGCUGAACCUCUUGACAUUAGCAAACAUCCAGGUGACUGAAGCAAUUUUUCCAGUUUUGCCUAAUGCUGGACAUCGUCCUUCCCUUAAACUCGAAUCCCCAGGCCCCCUAAUCCCUUCCCACCAUGACCAAGAUGCAGGUCAGCUCUGAAGUGAUUCACUGAUAACUGUGAACUGCUGGAAACACUGGGAACUGAAAAAUCAAAGAUAAAUAUACUGUAAACCUUCUAAGAAAGUAGGUGGAUCAUCUGUAACUACAAAUGUCAAAAUCUAAGGUCCCUCAGCCCCACCCUUGAGAGUUGAGGAGUGGAGACAGAGAUAUUUGCUACUUUUUUUUUUUCAUGUUUACUUUUUCUCUCCCCCACCAAUCUCUUCAUGCAUAAUAAACCUGAUAGGCAUAAAAUUUAGAUAUUAGCUUGGGCACCUAAAUCAGAACGGAAACCCCAUUUUCAAAAACUGUCUCAAAUGCUUGAUCUAUCUAUGCUGCUGGAUGAUGUGCGGACAGUGCUAGCUUUUCCAGUUCUAUUGGAAUCGUCAGUUUUCUCGCCUGCCUUCCCCCCCAUUUCCCCUUCCACCACUCUCCUCUCCUCUCUUCUUUCCCUCUUCUCUUGCUUCCUUCUUCCUUCAGGAAAUACUUACGAAGCCUCUGCUGCAUACCAGGCACUGUGACAGCUACUGGGAAUACAAUUGUGGCUGCACUGAUAAGGUUGAUACUGUCACUGUCCUGCUUUUAAGCCCUCAGUUCUUCCCUGAGCUAUGCCUGCAGACCCUUCCCCAGGAGGCUGGGGAUAUGUUAUGGUUUGGAUGUGAGGUAUUCCCCAAAAUCUCACAUGUGGAAUAAUGCAAGAAGGUUCAGAGGAGAAAUGAUUAGGUUGAGAGAGUCUUAACCAAUCAAUAGUUAAUACCCUAAUAGGGAUUAACUGAGUGGUUACUGAAGUGAGAGGGUGUGGCUGGAGGAGGUGGGAAUUGGGGUGUGGCUUUGGGGUAUAUAUUUGUAUCUAGCAAGGGAGACCUUUCUCUCUGCAUUGUCCCGUGAGCUGCGUUCCCCUGCCACACUCUUCUGCCAUGAUGUUCUGCCUCACCUUGAGCCCCAGGGAAUGGAUCCUACAGUCUGUGGAAUUGAGAUGGUUGAAACCAAGAGCCCUUAAAGAAACUUUUCCUCCCCUACAGUUGUUCUGGUUGGGUCCUUUUAUUCACACCAGCAAAAAAGCUGACUGCCUCUUUCUGUUUUUCAAAGAGGACUUUUUUCUGUCUUAUAGAUAUGGCAGAGGCAAGGAAGGACAGAAGUGCCCAGGAACAAAUGUCCUUGGGGGGAUUUGAAGCUGUGAAGGAUGGGGCAUGAAAGAGAAACAGCAGCAUUGUUGCUUCUCCGUGGGACAGUGUUUCUCAGGGUCCCAGGGGUCUAGAUUCCCAGAUGCCCAGGCAAUAAGCCACUCGUACCAAUGAUUUACUGGCUUUCUUCCCUUCCUGCCACAUGUCCCCAUUUCCUGUAUCUUUGGACGUGCAUCUUUGUCUGCAGGUCUUUUUUGGGGGGAUGUUCACUCAAACUACAAACUCAUAGGGGAAAUGCAAAAAAAAAAAAAAAAAAAAAAGCAGGAGAAGAAAAAAGAAAAAUCCCUGAAUUGUCAUGCAAUGCCUACUUUUCCCCAAAUAACUCAAAUAGCAGAAUGCUAAAAUAGUUCAAAUUGAGAAUCAUCUAAACCUAAGCUGCCUGGUAUGCUUGCAAUGGUAUUUUAACAUAUCCCUAAACAUCACGAAAAUCCAUAAACCAUUCAUUCAAAUGAAAUUUGAAGGACAUAGAAAACACAAGCACACUGUCUGAAAGAAUUAUCAUGUGGUGCCUUAAAUAUAAUGCACUGGCAUUUUUCAUCCUCUAAAUUUAAAGAUAAUCCUUUGGUAUUUGAGUCUUUGGACUGGCUGUACUGUUCAUCUUUUUGUUGAAAAAAAAAACCCCUAAAUAACAUUUCCUAUUCUGCAAAAUGGUAUAAUAUUCAGAAUCAAACCAAUUCUACUUGGUAAACUUCACUUGAAUGCUAUUCUUCAUCAACAUCACAUGCCUAUUAGAAUACAAAGAACAGCUGGCUUUUCACUAAAGUGAUUAUUUUUGUAUUAUUGAAUUCUGAAUAUUCAGCAUUGCCUAUCUCUCUUGAGUCAUUUCAAAUUAGAUCGCUAUAUCCAAGACACCUCAGUUUGCUUUAGUAGAGGGGACAGAUGGAUGGGAAUAGAGGUGAAAAUAGAGAAGUAAUAUCCCUUCUAUAACCCUUUUCAGUUUCAUAUGGAAUAAACAAAACAAAGACAAUUUUAACAUCUGUGAAGUCAAUAAAUGUCAGUUUCUAGGAAUCGGCUUCAAAACUGUAGUCAAUUCAUGGGCCUGCUCUCUCUUCUCUCUGUGUGUAUGUACUGACAUGUUAUCUAGACUCAAAUGGUCCACAGUCACUGACACACAAUAAGAACAUCUGAGAACUCAAUUACUUGACACAGAUAAUACUUCACACGUAUAAAAUAAAAACUUUCUAACAUAAAAACUUCUGUUAGUCUCCUUUAAUUAUAGCUACUCCUCACAGAAUUGAAAGUCAAAUCUUGAUUGAUAUUGUAUCCUGAACUCAGAAGGGCUCAGUAACAUCAUAUUGCCUUUAGAGAGUUCUUUUUAAUCCACAGGCUUCUACAGUGGUUUUAUAGCAACUCAGAGUUUUUUAAGACAUUAUUCCUGCAGUGGCAGUUUCCAAAAUGCUUUGUAGCAUCUUCUCAAAGAUAAAUAGGAGCAAGCCAGUUAGACAAAAGACAGAACAAUAAGUAAAAGCCCCAUAUUCCUAUAGAUACAGAUGUGGAACUUGGAAAGUGACUGUUACUUUUAAACAAAAAUGUGACUGGGUGGCUCUGUCAUUCCUUGAUACCCAUAGGAUGGUCUGAGGACCAUCAUUAGAAAACAUGGUGGGAGCUUGUUGGAAAGACAAACUUUCAGGUCUCAUCCCAGACCAACUGAAUCAGAAUAUGCAUUUAAACAAAAUCCUCAGACGCUUUACACAUGCAUCAGAAUUUGAGAAGCACUGUUCUAUGCCAGGAUAUAGAUAACUCCCAUGAAUACUUGUUUCAGCAAUUUGCUCUUACUCAGAUAGAACAAGACUAUAGUGAAAAAUGUUGAUGUUGGGAUUUUUUUUUUGUCCCCAGGGGUAGUGGGAGGGAGUGAUAGAAGGUACUAAAGAAAAGUAGGGGUGGAGAUGGGGAAGAUACAGGGAAUCAGAAAGAUGCUAAUGGGGUUCUUGGCUCUAUUGCCCACAAGACCAGAUCCUGAAAUGAUAACGAGACUCCAUGCACACCAGGAAAAUAUCAGCUUGUCCAGCAAGUCCAAGUCCAAGUGUUCUUAGGAUUUGCUUUAGAUUCUCUAAUCUUGAGUCUAUUCACCUGUAGAGCAAGGAGGCCUCACUACUUUACAAAAUUCACCUUUGAGGCACAUAUAUAUGUAUCAGAGAAGAGGGGAGAAUCAUAUAAGAGAGUAGAAGAGAGAAAGGGUGAAGAGCCUAAGAAAUCUUUGCAGAGUCACUGGGUUGUGAGAACAACUUGACAACCACUUUGAUCCCAUCUUGCUUUCCAGGGCUCAGUUUCUUUCAUGAGAUUUAUUUCCCAAUUAUAAACUACCAUUGUCUUUUAAUGCCUCUAGUAACAGCACGAUUCUUUUGGCCUUACAUGCAUCCCUAUUUGAUAUCAAGUGGCCACACACACUGACAAUCAAAAUUUAAAAUCCUCCUGGUUCAACAACCUCUGCAAUGAUAUAUAGCUAUAACUACCAGGUAGCCAAUUUAUGGCCUAUUCUGCCUUACCUAGUAUACCCAGAGCCGCCCCAAAGCACUGCCAAACUAACCUCUGCUCUUUUACAGGAAAUUUCAAUUGAUAAAAUUUAGGCAAUACUGGAACUAGAUGACAAAAUGAAUGGCUCAAACGUUGCAUUAAAUGUGGGUUUCAAUUCACCCUGGUAUUAAAGAGAAACUCUUACAUCAUGGAAGUUGAACUUAGGUACGACUUUCUCAACAGAACAGUGUCAACUGCCAGAGCUUCAGGCAAGAACCCAGAAAAGAUGAAAUCCCAGACAUGAUGAAAUGAGCCAAGAAGAUCCAGGCCAAGAUGUGAAAGGCCAAAUGGGAACAAGCAGCACACACAAUUCUGUUGCCAAGAGAUCUCCUCUAACGGUGUCACGUCCCAAGUUUCCACAGUGAAUGUCAGCAAGAGGAUGAUAAUUGAGGUGGGCAGUCAAUAGAGAAAUACAGUCUAUAAGGAAGUCACCCCAGAGAAGUUGUUUUUUUCUGUUUCUCAUGAGAAAUUGCCAGAAUGAAUUAGAAGCUAUUUGAGUAUUAUACUUAUCUUGGCACCAACAUGAUUUAUCUUCAAGGAAUCUUUAUCAAAUUUGCAUCUUGUCUAAUUUGGCAAGGAAAGUCCUCAUAAAAAGACAACCAUGAAACCCAGUUAGAUAUACAAAAUGGCUUCACUAAACCUCCAGGCAAACAGUGCCCAAGAUGCUUCAUUACUAACUGCUCACGCCUCCAGCUCCACAUCCAGAACUGACCCUUAACCCCUGCACUCUCACCUUUACUUCAAACCCAGUAAAAAAAAAACCUUCUGGACUGGGGUUGUGGCUCAGUGGUAGAGCGCUCACCUAGCAUGUUCAAGGCCCUGGGUUCGAUCCUCAGAACCACGUAAAAAUAAGUAAAAUAAAAGUAUUGUGUCCAACUGCAACUAAAAACUAAAUAUUAAAAAAAUAAACAACUCUUCUUUCUACCCCACAUUUCCCAUAGCUCUUCCUCCACAUUUUCCCAUUUUUGGCAUUCCCACACUGGAAAAUUGAGAAGCUUAUGGCUUGUUCCUUCCUUCACUGUUUGAGUUUAAGCAGGUAAAAGUAAUUUGUUUUCCCCCCAAUAGUUUCAGUAAUCAACCAUUUCUCUUUUAUUUCUCUGAUGAUGGACCUGGUUCAUGCAUUGAUUUCCAUUACCAGAAUUAUAUAGAAAAAUCCUUCCACUUACUCUUUAAUUUCUUGCACAUUUGAGCACCUUCUGCAUUCAGUAAGCACUGCGCUAGGUGCUGAGGAUAGAAAAGUGAGCAGAAUGGAGUUGGUUCUGGUCCUCGAGGAGUUUACUGGCUGGUGACAUCCCUGCAUGGCACAUUUUUCAGGACACCAUCAGACUAACCUUACUAAUAUACUUGUUGAAUCAUUUCUUUAUCCUGCUCAAAUGCUGUGCAUGGCCUAGUGGAAAAAUAACCAAGCACAUCGAAAGCAAAACUCUUCAAUCAUUCUAAAAUUUUGCAAUCUGGCCUCUACCUAUUUCUCUAAUAUCAGUCUUUAUUAUUCUCUCAACAAAGCAUCUGGAUGAAACUGGCUGACAGAAUCUCCACCUCAGGACGCUCUACAUUCCUUGCUCUUUGCUUUGGUUCUGUUGUUUCUUUGUCCAGAAGACCCACAUCCUCUAAUGUGAUAUUUUCGAAUUGAGAUACAAAAAAAGUCUUCUCUCUUCUCUGUACUUAAAUAUUUGGUCAAUUUAAAUGGCACUUAAUCUAGCCAAUAGUUGCCAUAACCUUAUCAUACUUUCUUGUUCCACAAUUCAAGUUUCUACUUUUAGAAUCCCUUGUUUACAUAUUUGUAAUUGAACAAUUAUUUUACCUUAAUUGACAAAAUAGAAAUUGUAUCUAUAUUUAUGGCAUGCAAUGCAUUUUGAUACAUGUACACCUUGUGAAAUAAUAAAAUCAAGUUAAUU
RNAcentral lists this long non-coding RNA (15146 nucleotides) under Marmota monax (woodchuck). Lineage: Eukaryota; Metazoa; Chordata; Mammalia; Rodentia; Sciuridae. The record is from RNAcentral.